UGCAAUCCUUGAUGCAAGAAUUCCCAUUUCCUGAAUCAUUAUGAUUAUUACAACAAAAAUCACCAUCUUUCGGCUGAGAUUGCG
This 84-nucleotide small nucleolar RNA is filed under the name Zea mays. Lineage: Eukaryota; Viridiplantae; Streptophyta; Magnoliopsida; Poales; Poaceae. The record is from RNAcentral.